CCUACGGGUGGCAGCAGUCGAGAAUCAUUCACAAUGGGGGAAACCCUGAUGGUGCGACGCCGCGUGGGGGAAUGAAGGUCUUCUGAUUGUAAGCCCCUGUCAUGUGGGAGCAAAUUAAAAAGAUAGUACCACAAGAGGAAGAGACGGCUAACUCUGUGCCAGCAGCCGCGGUAAUACAGAGGUCUCAAGCGGUGUUCGGAAUCACUGGGCGUAAAGGGUGCGUAGGCUGUUUCGUAAGUCGUGUGUGAAAGGCGCGGGCUCAACCCGCGGACGGCACAUGAUACUGCGAGACUAGAGUAAUGGAGGGGGAACCGGAAUUCUCGGUGUAGCAGUGAAAUGCGUAGAUAUCGAGAGGAACACUCGUGGCGAAGGCGGGUUCCUGGACAUUAACUGACGCUGAGGCACGAAGGCCAGGGGAGCGAAAGGGAUUAGAUACCCGAGUAGUC
Molecule: ribosomal RNA, 446 nt
Filed under: uncultured bacterium
Lineage: Bacteria
Description: partial 16S ribosomal RNA
Rfam family: Bacterial small subunit ribosomal RNA
Source: RNAcentral